Molecule: ribosomal RNA, 460 nt
Filed under: uncultured bacterium
Lineage: Bacteria
Description: partial 16S ribosomal RNA
Rfam family: Bacterial small subunit ribosomal RNA
Source: RNAcentral
CCUACGGGUGGCAGCAGUGAGGAAUAUUGGUCAAUGGACGAGAGUCUGAACCAGCCAAGUAGCGUGAAGGAUGACUGCCCUAUGGGUUGUAAACUUCUUUUAUAAAGGAAUAAAACGAGGCACGUGUGCCUUUUUGCAUGUACUUUAUGAAUAAGGAUCGGCUAACUCCGUGCCAGCAGCCGCGGUAAUACGGAGGAUCCGAGCGUUAUCCGGAUUUAUUGGGUUUAAAGGGAGCGUAGAUGGGUUGUUAAGUCAGUUGUGAAAGUUUGCGGCUCAACCGUAAAAUUGCAAUUGAUACUGGAAGUCUUGAGUACAGUUGAGGUAGGCGGAAUUCGUGGUGUAGCGGUGAAAUGCUUAGAUAUCACGAAGAACCCCGAUUGCGAAGGCAGCUUACUAAACUGUGACUGACAUUGAUGCGCGAAAGUGUGGGUAUCAAACAGGAUUAGAUACCCGUGUAGUC